CAGUCGCCACGGUAAUACGAAGGGUGCAAGCGUUACUCGGAAUUACUGGGCGUAAAGCGUGCGUAGGUGGUGGUUUAAGUCCGUUGUGAAAGCCCUGGGCUCAACCUGGGAGUUGCAGUGGAUACUGGGUCACUAGAGUGUGGUAGAGGAUAGUGGAAUUUCCGGUGUAGCAGUGAAAUGCGUAGAGAUCGGAAGGAACAUCUGUGGCGAAGGCGACUAUCUGGGCCAACACUGACACUGAGGCACGAAAGCGUGGGGAGCAAACAGGAUUAGAUACCCCAGUAGUCCCUGUCUCUUAUAC
Molecule: ribosomal RNA, 301 nt
Filed under: uncultured bacterium
Lineage: Bacteria
Description: partial 16S ribosomal RNA
Rfam family: Bacterial small subunit ribosomal RNA
Source: RNAcentral